UACGUAGGGUCCGAGCGUUGUCCGGAAUUACUGGGCGUAAAGAGCUCGUAGGUGGUUUGUCGCGUUGUUCGUGAAAACUCACAGCUCAACUGUGAGCGUGCGAGCGAUACGGGCAGACUGGAGUACUGCAGGGGAGACUGGAAUUCCUGGUGUAGCGGUGGAAUGCGCAGAUAUCAGGAGGAACACCGGUGGCGAAGGCGGGUCUCUGGGCAGUAACUGACGCUGAGGAGCGAAAGCGUGGGGAGCGAACAGG
This 253-nucleotide ribosomal RNA is filed under the name uncultured bacterium. RNAcentral describes it as "partial 16S ribosomal RNA". It matches the Rfam family "Bacterial small subunit ribosomal RNA", at positions 524 to 776 of the family's 1533-position model. The record is from RNAcentral.